This 156-nucleotide ribosomal RNA is filed under the name Capsicum annuum. Its description in RNAcentral is "5.8S ribosomal RNA". It matches the Rfam family "5.8S ribosomal RNA". From Rfam's summary of the family: 5.8S ribosomal RNA (5.8S rRNA) is a component of the large subunit of the eukaryotic ribosome. It is transcribed by RNA polymerase I as part of the 45S precursor that also contains 18S and 28S rRNA. The record is from Rfam by way of RNAcentral. Lineage: Eukaryota; Viridiplantae; Streptophyta; Magnoliopsida; Solanales; Solanaceae.
GACUCUUGACAAAGGAUUUCUCAGCUCCUGUAUCAAUAAAGAAUGCAGAAAAAUGAAAUAUUUUGUGUGAAUUGCAGAAUCCCAUUUACCAUAAAGUCUUUGAAUGUAAUUUGCACUUGAAGCCAUUAUGUUGAGGUCACAUCUGCUUGGGUGUCA